UACGUAUGGGGCAAGCGUUGUUCGGAAUUACUGGGCGUAAAGGGCUCGUAGGCGGCCAACUAAGUCAGACGUGAAAUCCCCAGGCUCAACCUGGGAACUGCGUCUGAUACUGGAUGGCUUGAAUCCGGGAGAGGGAUGUGGAAUUCCAGGUGUAGCGGUGAAAUGCGUAGAUAUCGGGAGGAACACCUGAGGCGAAGGCGGGCUACUGGGCCGAUACUGACGCUGAUGUGCGAAAGCCAGGGGAGCGAACGGG
RNAcentral lists this ribosomal RNA (253 nucleotides) under uncultured bacterium. RNAcentral's name for it is "partial 16S ribosomal RNA". It matches the Rfam family "Bacterial small subunit ribosomal RNA", at positions 524 to 776 of the family's 1533-position model. The record is from RNAcentral.